CGGGGGUUGCCGGCAGCCACAAGGGAGCUCUGAGCAGUUUUUUUGCCGUGCGAGCCGGAGCCUGGCUGCGGAGUGGCGUAAGGAUCCCCCCCAACGGAUGAGCCGUGCUGAUAGCAAUGAGAGAGCGGAGGCGGUGAACCCUCGGUAGCCCAUAGGGGCUCUUUGUUCGGAACGGAGCGAGGGCUGCGGCAGAGCCUCAUCCCAAAGCAGGGGGCAUUUAGGAGUCAGUAGAAUGACAAACCAGCAGGGUGAUGGAGUUGCUGUCCAGGUGAGAGAGCUGGAUUGAGCCCUGAAGAAGUAGGAGAGCACUUGUGUGGGACUUAAUAAGCAGCCAUCAGUACUGAGACUGCAGAGACUGCUCCUUGAGAAUCCUGGAUCCCAGGGGAAAGAGUCUUUGAGGAAGGAUGACUUCUCGAUUGCGGAGGACGUAGGUGAACAUCGCCUAGGCAAAAGCGAUGCCCACAGAUCCCUGGGUUCUAAUAGGAUGCGCCAGCGUGUGCAGAGGGAGCUGGCUCUCUAUCACAUUUUGUAUGAUCUUUGUUAUAGGAAAGAUUCCUGAGGAUGGGAGGAUAGCCAGCUUCCUUGCAGCCUUCAAGAAGGGCAAGGAGGAUGGCCUCAUCUCUGUCCCUGGAUCAACUUGUUCUGGAUGUUGUCUCCAAGCAACUUGAAGAAAAGAGAUUUCUAUGGGGUAGUAAAGGUGGAUUCACCGAGGGGAAAUCAGGGCAGACUGAUAUGGGAGCCUUCCAUGUUGUUACGACUGUCUCCUCAGAUGACAGAAUAGCAGGGGAUGUUGCACGCUUGACUUCAAUGAGGCUGUUAACACUAUAUUUGUGGCAGCGUGCUUGGUGAGCGCAAGGAAGAUGGGCAGACUCAGCAUUGCAGUUGGAAGCUGAAAUAGUGUUAUGUGGGGUGGGUACUGCAUCUUACUGUGCUUAUAUUUCAUCGGUGACCUGGAUGGAGAGGGAGCUGAUGAUGCAAAGCUGGGAGGAGCAGCUGACAGAGGGACCCUGUGAACUUCAAGGAGAGCAAGUAUGGGGUUGUGCAGUUAAUGUGCACCUGUAUGUUAGUGAGUGGUUUGCUGGAGAGGAGACCUGAGGGGGACUUGGUGUUCAGCUGUGAGCUCCAGAAAUCCAGUCUUAUGCUGGGGUGGGUGAAAAUGAAUGAGAGCAAUGGGAUUCUACCCUGUUGAUCCUGUGUCUGGACUACUGUGUUCACUUUGUCUCUGCAGGUCAAGAAGAUGAGAAACUUUGUAGAGAGUGCAGCAGUACAAUAAAGAAGAUGAGGGGCCUGGAGCAUCUCCCUUCUGAGAGAAGGAUGUUCAACAACCUAUGGCUGCUUCACCAAGAGAAGGGAAGGGUGAAGGCUGCAGAUGGAAGUUUCUUUGCAAGGAUUGGCCUGAACAUGAGGUGUUUCAUCAGCAGUGAGUAGUGGGGGUGUGAGCCUUCCAACCUGAGGGCCACUUGGUGGUGUUUCACAGAGCUCUUCUAGGUUCAGUGCUGGAACUAGGAUCCUGGUGGUGAGUUGUCUUUGUUUGUGACCUGUCUGUGCUGUCCCUGGGAUGGAGUUUACAGCUGGCAUUGUGUCUUUUGUCUUGGCAAAGAUUCAUUGUGCUUUUCUUUCAGCCCUGAAGGUGUUGUCUUGGAGCAGUGGAGAUGCAGCAGCCCUUGUUCAGGAGUUUGGAAUUGUCUGAAGAACAAGGUCACAAUUGUUGAUGGGGAGCUGCACUCUACUAAAGGUGAAGAAGUGCAACUGACUGAGGAGGUAGAUGGUGUCCUUGGUUGAGGUGGCUCUCCCAUGUUGAGCUUUGUUUUUGCUCCCUGUGUUGUCUUUUUUUUGUAGAGUUUGGAGGUUGAAGUUCUUCCUUAUUUGACUUGAAAACAACCACAAAGCCAAGUAGUGGCUUUGGUGCCCUGUAAUAGGGAAUGGUAUGUGUUAGAGCCACUUCUCUAGGAAGUGGCUGGUUCUUAUUGCUUUUAAGGAGU
Non-coding RNA from Phasianus colchicus (ring-necked pheasant), 1982 nucleotides. The record is from RefSeq and is a predicted model, not a curated record. NCBI's taxonomy places the organism in Eukaryota, Metazoa, Chordata, Aves, Galliformes, Phasianidae.